RNAcentral lists this ribosomal RNA (271 nucleotides) under uncultured archaeon. RNAcentral describes it as "partial 16S ribosomal RNA". It matches the Rfam family "Archaeal small subunit ribosomal RNA", at positions 477 to 747 of the family's 1478-position model. The record is from RNAcentral.
CAGCGCCACGAGUGGUGACCACGUUUAUUGGGCCUAAAGCGUCCGUAGCCGGUUUGAUAAAUCUUUUGUGAAAUUGUACAGCUUAACUGUACAGCGUGCAAGAGACACUGUCAAACUUGAGACCGGGAGGAGUCAGAAGUAUUCCAGAGGGAGCGGUAAAAUGUUAUAAUCUCUGGAGGACUACCUGUGGCGAAGGCGUCUGACCAGAACGGAUCUGACGGUGAGGGACGAAAGCUAGGGGAGCGAACCGGAUUAGAGACCCGAGUAGUCC